Molecule: ribosomal RNA, 652 nt
Filed under: uncultured archaeon
Lineage: Archaea
Description: bacterial SSU rRNA
Rfam family: Archaeal small subunit ribosomal RNA
Source: RNAcentral
UUCCGGUUGAUCCUGCCGGAGGCCAUUGCUAUCGGAGUCCGAUUUAGCCAUGCUAGUCGAGCGAGGUUAGCCCUCGCGGCGAACAGCUCAGUAACACGUGGCCAAGCUACCCUGCAGAGGGGGACAGCGUCGGGAAACUGACGGGAAUCCCCCAUACCGGUCUCACGCUGGAAUGCCGAGACCGACAAACGCUCCGGCGCUGCAGGAUGCGGCUGCGGCCGAUUAGGUAGUCGGUGGGGUAACGGCCCACCGAGCCGAUAAUUGGUACGGGGUGUGAGAGCACGAGCCCGGAGACGGAAUCUGAGACAAGAUUCCGGGCCCUACGGGGCGCAGCAGGCGCGAAACCUUUACACUGCACGAACGUGCGAUAAGGGGACUCCGAGUGCGAGGGCAUACAGUCCUCGCUAUUGUGUACCGUAGGGUGGUACACGACCAAGAGCUGGGCAAGACCGGUGCCAGCCGCCGCGGUAAUACCGGCAGCUCGAGUGAUGGCCGAUUUUAUUGGGCCUAAAGCGUCCGUAGCUGGCCCUGCAAGUCCGUCGGGAAAUCCACUCGCCUAACGAGUGGGCGUCCGGCGGAAACUACAGGGCUUGGGACCGGAAGACUUGAGGGGGUACGUCUGGGGUAGGACUGAAUUCUUGUCCUCCUGGAC